RNAcentral lists this non-coding RNA (31 nucleotides) under Mus musculus (house mouse). Lineage: Eukaryota; Metazoa; Chordata; Mammalia; Rodentia; Muridae. The record is from RNAcentral.
UGGGUGCUUGCUGUUUUACAGGGACUAUUAU